CUCAACCGCGGAAGUGCAUUGGAAACUGGCGGACUUGAGUGCACGAGAGGAAAGCGGAAUUCCCGGUGUAGCGGUGGAAUGCGUAGAUAUCGGGAAGAACACCAGCGGCGAAGGCGGCUUUCUGGCGUGCCACUGACCCUGAGGGACGAAAGCGUGGGGAGCGAACGGGAUUAGAUACCCCGGUAGUCCACGCCGUAAACGUUGUGCGCUCGAUAUGGGCGGCCAUCCAGUGCUGUCCGUGUCUAAGCUAACGCGUUAAGCGCACCGCCUGGGGAAUACGGCCGCAAGGCUAAAACUCAAAGGAAUUGACGGGGGCCCGCACAACCGGUGGAGCAUGUGGCUUAAUUCGAGGCUACGCGAAGAACCUUACCCGGACUUGACAUAUACGGGCUUUCGCGUGAAAGCGCGAUUUCCCUUCGGGGACCC
RNAcentral lists this ribosomal RNA (426 nucleotides) under uncultured bacterium. Its description in RNAcentral is "bacterial SSU rRNA". It matches the Rfam family "Bacterial small subunit ribosomal RNA", at positions 608 to 1029 of the family's 1533-position model. The record is from RNAcentral.